Molecule: long non-coding RNA, 212 nt
Filed under: Elaeis guineensis (African oil palm)
Lineage: Eukaryota; Viridiplantae; Streptophyta; Magnoliopsida; Arecales; Arecaceae
Description: long non-coding RNA (EGUI_LNC047053)
Source: RNAcentral
UUCUACUUUAUCCUUUUCUUCGUUGCUUUCAAAUCAGUGAAGUACUUCUUCAUCAACUAUUGGAUCUUCUGUGGGUAUUUCUGACACAUGGAUACAUCAGGAUAACACCAGCCAGAUGCUGCUUCAACCUAGUCGCCCCUCUUCUCUUGAAUUCUGUGUUGCACCAUUUGUAUUUUCAAUGAUGUUGAGCCAAGAGCAUCUCGCUAUGAUCC